Lycium barbarum (goji berry) is the source of this 1059-nucleotide long non-coding RNA. RefSeq lists it as uncharacterized. The record is from RefSeq and is a predicted model, not a curated record. The transcript has 3 exons. NCBI's taxonomy places the organism in Eukaryota, Viridiplantae, Streptophyta, Magnoliopsida, Solanales, Solanaceae.
CGAACCCAUCUCAGUUAAUAAAAAAAAAUACAAGGUAGAGAUUUGAAUUCGCAGACAGAAAUUUGCAUGCAAAACUCUGUUCGCAAGCAGAAUUUUGAUGCAAUUUGCCUUUCUCGUGCAGGCAGAGUUUCUUCUUUCUCCUGCAUUACUAAUGGUGAAAAGGACAUUCCCGUUCCUAAUUAACCAAAAACUAAUAUGGUUCAAAUCUGACCCAUCUUUUAGAAAAAAGUUUUUGCUUGUCUCCGUCAAUCAAUGUGUUCAUGGGUUUGUGCAUUUUCUUUGGAUUUGAUCCGCACACUGAGUUGCAGGCGCCCGUGUUCGUGGGAUUUGAGUGUUGAGUAACUUUGUUCCUCACGUUUUCUCUUACUUGUCACCAUGUUUCAGUUUCAUAUUCUAUAGUCUCAAAGAACAUACCGACCAUGAAGCCAAUUUUGUAAGGUUCAAAUACUUGUGACUAAAUCUGGAGUCUCUACUUCGAGUGACCAACUAAGUUAUGCAGUGUAGGAUUCAUUUGAUGUGUCAAUUUCAGAAUUUUGAUGCAAAAGGCAGAGUUUUGAAGGUUCGAAUCCGAAAUCAGAGAUUUUUAGCUAAAGGCAAAAGUUAAAGAUUUCAAAUUUAAAGGACAAAAAUUAAAGACCACCCCAAAAUAAAGACGAAGUGGGUCCAACUGAAACCGCAACAAGGUGGGUCCGCCCCUGAUUGUCAACCGGAGUAAACAUGGAUUCAUGGUGGUUCUCCUUAAAGCAUGAAAAAAAAAACAAUUCUUUUGUUGGUAAAACCUAUAUGGGCGGUUGCAAACAUUUUCGUUGGGAAGAUAGCAUUCCCGUGGAUAAAAUGGUGGCGACGAAGUUUCAAAAGCCUCCUGUUGAUAGAGAUACCGCGACCUCACGUAUCACUAGAGAUACCGUACGUGAAGUUUGACUUACAGUUUAAGCUUAUGGAAGCUCAAGAAAAAAUUCACCUUUUAGAGGUGUUGCUUAAAGAAUCCAAAGAAAGGCAAAGUUUCUCAAGGCUAACCUUAGAGACACUCAACAAGAGAAAAAUGCUCUGAAAGAAAAA